Gymnopus androsaceus JB14 is the source of this 90-nucleotide non-coding RNA. Lineage: Eukaryota; Fungi; Basidiomycota; Agaricomycetes; Agaricales; Omphalotaceae. The record is from the annotation of a GenBank genome assembly.
GGUCCAAUAGUGUAGAGGUUAUCACACGGGAUUCUGAGUCUUUAACGUUGCAGGCUUCCCGUGACCCAGGUUCGAGUCCUGGUUGGACCU